AGCAGCCGCGGUAAUUCCAGCUCCAAUAGCGUAUAUUAAAGUUGCUGCAGUUAAAAAGCUCGUAGUUGAAUUUCGGGACUAAUAUGUCGGUCGUGCCUCGGUACGCACUGGCUUAUUGGUUUCUCCUUUCUGAAGAACCAUGAUGUCAUUAAUUUGGUGUCUUGGGGAAUCAGGACUGUUACUUUGAAAAAAUUAGAGUGUUUAAAGCAGGCUCACGCUUGAAUACAUUAGCAUGGAAUAAUGAAAUAGGACGUUUGAUUCUAUUUUGUUGGUUUCUAGGAUCGACGUAAUGAUUAAUAGGGAUAGUUGGGGGCAUUAGUAUUCAAUUGUCAGAGGUGAAAUUCUUGGAUUUAUUGAAGACUAACUACUGCGAAAGCAUUUGCCAAGGAUGUUUUCAUUAAUCAAGAACGAAAGUUAGGGGAUCGAAGACGAUCAGAUACCGUCGUAGUCUUAACCAUAAACUAUGCCGACUAGGGAUCGGAUGAUGUUAAUUUUUUUAAUGACUCAUUCGGCGCCUUAC
Molecule: ribosomal RNA, 520 nt
Filed under: uncultured Glomus
Lineage: Eukaryota; Fungi; Glomeromycota; Glomeromycetes; Glomerales; Glomeraceae
Description: SSU rRNA
Rfam family: Eukaryotic small subunit ribosomal RNA
Source: RNAcentral